This 1155-nucleotide ribosomal RNA is filed under the name Limosilactobacillus fermentum. Its description in RNAcentral is "bacterial SSU rRNA". It matches the Rfam family "Bacterial small subunit ribosomal RNA", at positions 310 to 1458 of the family's 1533-position model. The record is from RNAcentral. Lineage: Bacteria; Bacillati; Bacillota; Bacilli; Lactobacillales; Lactobacillaceae.
CCAAUGGGACUGAGACCCGGCCCCUAUUCCUACGGGAGGCAGCAGUAGGGAAUCUUCCCCAAUGGGGCCAAGCCUGAUGGAGCAACACCGCGUGAGUGAAGAAGGGUUUCGGCUCGUAAAGCUCUGUUGUUAAAGAAGAACACGUAUGAGAGUAACUGUUCAUACGUUGACGGUAUUUAACCAGAAAGUCACGGCUAACUACGUGCCAGCAGCCGCGGUAAUACGUAGGUGGCAAGCGUUAUCCGGAUUUAUUGGGCGUAAAGAGAGUGCAGGCGGUUUUCUAAGUCUGAUGUGAAAGCCUUCGGCUUAACCGGAGAAGUGCAUCGGAAACUGGAUAACUUGAGUGCAGAAGAGGGUAGUGGAACUCCAUGUGUAGCGGUGGAAUGCGUAGAUAUAUGGAAGAACACCAGUGGCGAAGGCGGCUACCUGGUCUGCAACUGACGCUGAGACUCGAAAGCAUGGGUAGCGAACAGGAUUAGAUACCCUGGUAGUCCAUGCCGUAAACGAUGAGUGCUAGGUGUUGGAGGGUUUCCGCCCUUCAGUGCCGGAGCUAACGCAUUAAGCACUCCGCCUGGGGAGUACGACCGCAAGGUUGAAACUCAAAGGAAUUGACGGGGGCCCGCACAAGCGGUGGAGCAUGUGGUUUAAUUCGAAGCUACGCGAAGAACCUUACCAGGUCUUGACAUCUUGCGCCAACCCUAGAGAUAGGGCGUUUCCUUCGGGAACGCAAUGACAGGUGGUGCAUGGUCGUCGUCAGCUCGUGUCGUGAGAUGUUGGGUUAAGUCCCGCAACGAGCGCAACCCUUGUUACUAGUUGCCAGCAUUAAGUUGGGCACUCUAGUGAGACUGCCGGUGACAAACCGGAGGAAGGUGGGGACGACGUCAGAUCAUCAUGCCCCUUAUGACCUGGGCUACACACGUGCUACAAUGGACGGUACAACGAGUCGCGAACUCGCGAGGGCAAGCAAAUCUCUUAAAACCGUUCUCAGUUCGGACUGCAGGCUGCAACUCGCCUGCACGAAGUCGGAAUCGCUAGUAAUCGCGGAUCAGCAUGCCGCGGUGAAUACGUUCCCGGGCCUUGUACACACCGCCCGUCACACCAUGAGAGUUUGUAACACCCAAAGUCGGUGGGGUAACCUUUAGGAGCCAGCCGCAU